This 466-nucleotide long non-coding RNA is filed under the name Zostera marina. Its description in RNAcentral is "long non-coding RNA (ZMAR_LNC005472)". Lineage: Eukaryota; Viridiplantae; Streptophyta; Magnoliopsida; Alismatales; Zosteraceae. The record is from RNAcentral.
ACAUAUCUGAGAUUCUGAAGAAUAGCAAUUUUUUUGUGUUGAAAGGUAAUAACAAGAUAGAUUCAGAACUAGAAUUCUUCAAAAUUAUAAAAAUUAAAUAUUAAUUUCUUUAUUUAAUUCUUUUUGAUAUGAUAUCAAAACAUUAUCUGUGGAAGUUUACGACGAAAGAACAAGUCGCAUCGUUAGUAAAGCAAAGAUAAAACAAGACCUGUUUAUUGUUAAAUUGAUCGAUUUCAAUUUAAUAAUUUUAAUAAUUUUUUCCUUCUUUCUUUUUCAGUUGGAAAUUUCAAUGGAGAAGUCCAAGGCGAUUGUUGAGGUUAUUGCUACGGAAAAUCUUAAGAAGGUUAAUGGUGGGAUUAAUCUUGAUACUAAUGGCAAAAGCUGAGCGAGAUUGUUUUCGGAUUUAAUAAUUUUAGUUUUUUCUCCUUUUCUGAAUUUCGAGAAUAGCUAAAUUAGAUUGAAGGCA